This is an RNA transcript of Pipistrellus kuhlii (Kuhl's pipistrelle), 1374 nucleotides long. It is a transcript of the gene named testis expressed 30, with no coding region annotated. The transcript is spliced from 7 exons. The record is from RefSeq and is a predicted model, not a curated record. NCBI's taxonomy places the organism in Eukaryota, Metazoa, Chordata, Mammalia, Chiroptera, Vespertilionidae.
CCGCGGGUCGCCGGGAGCGUGAGAGUUUGCGCUCUGAGGCGGGUGAGGGCGGUUCGGUGCUCCCGGCCACUUCCCCGGCCCCGGGAGAUGUCCUUUGCUCCUCAGAUGUAAUGCACUUUAAAUUUGUUAUUCAACAGUGAAAAUGAGUCAUACAGAGGUGAAAUUAAAAAUACCUUUUGGGAAUAAGUUACUAGAUGCUGUUUGCUUGGUACCUAACAAGAGCUUCACAUAUGGAAUAAUUCUUACCCACGGAGCUUCAGGAGAUAUGAAUCUUCCGCAUUUGAUGUCCCUGGCAUCCCAUCUUGCAUCUCAUGGUUUUUUUUGCCUGAGGUUUACCUGUAAAGGCCUUAAUAUUGUACAUAGAAUUAAGGCAUAUAAAUCAGUUUUGAGUUACCUCAAGACCUCAGAAUACAAACUUACAGGUGUUUUCCUUGGAGGUCGUUCAAUGGGCUCAAGAGCAGCUGCUUCUGUAAUGUGUCAUAUUGAGCCAGCUGAUGCUAAUGAUUUUGUUCGAGGUCUCGUUUGUAUUUCUUAUCCACUGCACCAUCCGAAACAGCAGCAUAAACUUAGAGAUGAAGAUCUCUUUCGUAUAAAAGAUCCUGUACUAUUUGUGUCAGGCUCAGCAGAUGAAAUGUGUGAAAAGAACUUGUUGGAGAAAGUCGCACAGAAAAUGCAAGCUCCUAAUAAAAUCCACUGGAUUGAGAAGGCAAAUCAUUCCAUGGCAGUGAAAGGACGGUCAACGAAUGAUGUUUUCAAAGAAAUAAAUACACAAAUUUUGUUUUGGAUUCAGGAAAUCACUGAAAGGGACAAGAAAUAAUUGUCUUUAGUUAAAAGUCAUGUUAUUUUGAAUACAAAUACAGUUAAUUUGAUAAGGAACAGCAUAACUCUCAGCAUUAUGAGGAGUUAUUUUUGAGAUCAUGCUCAUAAAGAUUUGACAUGGUUUCAGAAAAUCUUUCACUUCCAGAAGAGGGUAGUUCGAUGCCCAGAAGGUAAGAAAAAAAGUGGCUGAUUAACUUCUCUCCUAUUUUCUCAGUAUCACAAUUAUGGAACUUUCAUAGAUGUUUAGGUUGCACUGACCAGCCUGUCAGGUGGACCCAACCACUAAUUGCACCUGCAGAACCAUAUUUUCUUAAAGUAUAUAUCCAAAAUUCUUCCACAUUAAAUAAAUAAAAUAAUAAAAAUCAAAACCUGAAGAAUAAAGUCAGAAAUUUGGGAGUCCUGAAAUGAUGGUGUUUUGUGCAAAAAUAAAUCUUACUUAAAGAUACUAGUGUUGUAUUUGAUGUAACUCAGAAAGCAGUACUUCAAAGUAAAUAUAUAAUCAGGAAGUUUCUAAUCUUAAAAUUCCAUUAAAAUUAGUCACUAAAUUCUUGUGCU